UAAUGUUUGAUGUUCUAACGUGGACCCGUGAUCCGGGUUGCGGACAGUGUCUGGUGGGUAGUUUGACUGGGGCGGUCUCCUCCUAAAGAGUAACGGAGGAGCACGAAGGUUGGCUAAUCCUGGUCGGACAUCAGGAGGUUAGUGCAAUGGCAUAAGCCAGCUUGACUGCGAGCGUGACGGCGCGAGCAGGUGCGAAAGCAGGUCAUAGUGAUCCGGUGGUUCUGAAUGGAAGGGCCAUCGCUCAACGGAUAAAAGGUACUCCGGGGAUAACAGGCUGAUACCGCCCAAGAGUUCAUAUCGACGGCGGUGUUUGGCACCUCGAUGUCGGCUCAUCACAUCCUGGGGCUGAAGUAGGUCCCAAGGGUAUGGCUGUUCGCCAUUUAAAGUGGUACGCGAGCUGGGUUUAGAACGUCGUGAGACAGUUCGGUCCCUAUCUGCCGUGGGCGCUGGAGAACUGAGGGGGGCUGCUCCUAGUACGAGAGGACCGGAGUGGACGCAUCACUGGUGUUCGGGUUGUCAUGCCAAUGGCACUGCCCGGUAGCUAAAUGCGGAAGAGAUAAGUGCUGAAAGCAUCUAAGCACGAAACUUGCCCCGA
This 595-nucleotide ribosomal RNA is filed under the name Salmonella enterica subsp. enterica serovar Infantis. RNAcentral's name for it is "partial 23S ribosomal RNA". It matches the Rfam family "Bacterial large subunit ribosomal RNA", at positions 2208 to 2802 of the family's 2925-position model. Lineage: Bacteria; Pseudomonadati; Pseudomonadota; Gammaproteobacteria; Enterobacterales; Enterobacteriaceae. RNAcentral also lists the same sequence under 13 other names. The record is from RNAcentral.